AUUGAACGCUGGCGGCAUGCCUUACACAUGCAAGUCGAACGGUAACGGGCCUUCGGGUGCCGACGAGUGGCGAACGGGUGAGUAAUACAUCGGAACGUGCCCGAUCGUGGGGGAUAACGAGGCGAAAGCUUUGCUAAUACCGCAUACGAUCUACGGAUGAAAGCAGGGGACCGCAAGGCCUUGCGCGGACGGAGCGGCCGAUGGCAGAUUAGGUAGUUGGUGGGAUAAAAGCUUACCAAGCCGACGAUCUGUAGCUGGUCUGAGAGGAUGAUCAGCCACACUGGAACUGAGACACGGCCCAGACUCCUACGGGAGGCAGCAGUGGGGAAUUUUGGACAAUGGGCGCAAGCCUGAUCCAGCCAUGCCGCGUGAAGGAUGAAGGCCUUCGGGUUGUAAACUGCUUUUGUACGGAACGAAAAGCCUUCUUUUAAUACAGGAGGGUCAUGACGGUACCGUAAGAAUAAGCACCGGCUAACUACGUG
Molecule: ribosomal RNA, 482 nt
Filed under: uncultured bacterium
Lineage: Bacteria
Description: partial 16S ribosomal RNA
Rfam family: Bacterial small subunit ribosomal RNA
Source: RNAcentral